Molecule: unclassified non-coding RNA, 239 nt
Filed under: Hevea brasiliensis (rubber tree)
Lineage: Eukaryota; Viridiplantae; Streptophyta; Magnoliopsida; Malpighiales; Euphorbiaceae
Source: RNAcentral
GAGUUCUCGUACAGUAGAAAGCUGUUUGUCAUUUUAUCACUUAAAAUUUAUGAAGAAUAAAGUUUUCAUCAAAGCAAUAAAGUUUUCAUCAAAGCACUCUCAAUAAGAGUAAAAUGAAACUUCAAGAGCUCAAAACUAACCAAAAACAAAACACUCUCAUCUUUGGUGAUGACAAUAAAUUGUUAACAAAAGGCAGACAGAAAACAUUCAUUUACCUGCAGGUCUGGAGUGCUAUGAGG